This 271-nucleotide unclassified non-coding RNA is filed under the name uncultured Russula. RNAcentral describes it as "sequence contains ITS2". The record is from RNAcentral. Lineage: Eukaryota; Fungi; Basidiomycota; Agaricomycetes; Russulales; Russulaceae.
AAUCUUCAAAACCCUUUUCUUUGAUCCAUUUUGGUCGGGAAAAGGAUUUUUGGACUUGGAGGUCCAAUGCUCGCCCUUUCUUUUGAAAGCGAGCUCCUCUCAAAUGAAUCAGUGGGGUCCGCUUUGCUGAUCCUUGACGUGAUAAGAUGUUUCUACGUUUUGGGUUUAGCACUGUCCCUUGGACACCUGCUCCUAACCGUCUUAUGGACAAUGAUGGUGCUUCGGUCACCGCCGUCUACAUCGGCGGGAGGCUGGACCCACAAAAAGAAAA